ACUCCUACGGGAGGCAGCAGUGGGGAAUAUUGCACAAUGGGGAAACCCUGAUGCAGCCAUGCCGCGUGUGUGAAGAAGGCCUUCGGUUGUAAAGCACUUUCAGUAGGGAGGAAGGUAGUGUAGUUAACACCUGCACUAUUUGACGUUACCUACAGAAGAAGCACCGGCUAACUCCGUGCCAGCAGCCGCGGUAAUACGGAGGGGUGCGAGCGUUAAUCGGAAUUACUGGGCGUAAAGCGCAUGCAGGCGGCCUGUUAAGUCAGAUGUGAAAGCCCGGGGGCUUAACCUCGGAAUUGCAUUUGAAACUGGCAGGCUAGAGUCUUGUAGAGGGGGUAGAAUUUCAGGUGUAGCGGUGAAAUGCGUAGAGAUCUGAAGGAAUACCAGUGGCGAAGGCGGCCCCUGGACAAAGACUGACGCUCAGAUGCGAAAGCUGGGGAGCAAACAGGAUUAGAUACCCUGGUAGCACAGAG
This 470-nucleotide ribosomal RNA is filed under the name uncultured bacterium. RNAcentral describes it as "bacterial SSU rRNA". It matches the Rfam family "Bacterial small subunit ribosomal RNA", at positions 335 to 799 of the family's 1533-position model. The record is from RNAcentral.